RNAcentral lists this ribosomal RNA (948 nucleotides) under Triticum aestivum (bread wheat). Its description in RNAcentral is "partial small subunit ribosomal RNA". The record is from RNAcentral. Lineage: Eukaryota; Viridiplantae; Streptophyta; Magnoliopsida; Poales; Poaceae.
AUGGCGGGAUUCCCUCUAGGCGGAGGAGGCCACCACAGCCGCGGCGGACGCGACGACGACGGCAGCCACCCUCCCGGCAUCAACCCCUCCUCGUCUUCCUCCGCGGCCGCCUUCCUCUACGCCACCACCCCAUCGCGCGGCGGGUUCCAGCUAUGGCAGGGGCAGCCGCAGCCGCAGCACGAGCAGCAGCAGCACCCGUUCUACGGCGGCGCCUCCUCCAGCAUCAUCCGCUUCGCCGAUGACCCGGCCGCCUCCGGGUCUUCCUCGCGGGGCGGAGGGAGAGGGUCUGGCGCAGGCGCUGGCGCGGGCACAAUCAGCUGCCAGGACUGCGGCAACCAGGCCAAGAAGGACUGCCCCCACAUGCGCUGCCGCACCUGCUGCAAGAGCCGCGGCUUCGACUGCGCCACCCACGUCAAGUCCACGUGGGUCCCUGCCGCCCGCCGCCGCGAGCGACAUCACCAGCAGCCGCAGGGGCAGGCCUCCGCCGAGCCGUUCAAGCGCCCUCGCGAAGGCGGCCAGCCCUCCGCCACCACUCCUACCACUACUUCUUCAGGGGAGCACCAGCAGCAGAUGAUGGCGGCCGACAGGUUCCCGCGGGAGGUGAGCUCAGAGGCAGUGUUCCGCUGUGUGCGGCUGGGCCCGGUCGACGAAGCCGAGGCCGAGGUGGCGUACCAGACCACCGUCAGCAUCGGUGGCCACGUCUUCAAGGGCAUCCUGCACGACGUAGGCCCAGACACCUCCAUCACCGGCGGGACCCGCACCGCCCACCACGCCGCCGAAGGUUCCUCCCCGAGCACGGCAGCUGCUGGCGGCGCCGAAGGAGGCAGCGGAUCUACGGGUGCCGCCGCAGUGUCGUCAUCGGCUGUGGUGAUGGACCCGUAUCCCACGCCCGGCCCGUACGGUGCUUACGGCGGCGCGCCAUUCUUCCACGGCCACCACCCGAGGUGA